Molecule: small nuclear RNA, 106 nt
Filed under: Esox lucius (northern pike)
Lineage: Eukaryota; Metazoa; Chordata; Actinopteri; Esociformes; Esocidae
Source: RNAcentral
GUGCUCGCUUCGGGCAGCACAUAUACUAAAAUUGGAUCGAUACGAGAAAGAUUAGCAUGGCCCCUGCGAAGGAUGACACGCAAUCCGGGUAGCGCUCAUAGUUUCC